RNAcentral lists this ribosomal RNA (465 nucleotides) under uncultured bacterium. RNAcentral's name for it is "partial 16S ribosomal RNA". It matches the Rfam family "Bacterial small subunit ribosomal RNA", at positions 28 to 507 of the family's 1533-position model. The record is from RNAcentral.
GACGAACGCUGGCGGCGUGCUUAACACAUGCAAGUCGAACGGUAAGGCCCCUUCGGGGGUACACGAGUGGCGAACGGGUGAGUAACACGUGAGCAACCUGCCCUUGACUCUGGAAUAACAGUUGGAAACAGCUGCUAAUACUGGAUAUUCAUCGUCUCCUUCUUGGGGGGUGGUGGAAAGCUCCGGCGGUCAGGGAUGGGCUCGCGGCCUAUCAGCUUGUUGGUGAGGUAAUGGCUCACCAAGGCUUCGACGGGUAGCCGGCCUGAGAGGGCGACCGGCCACACUGGGACUGAGAUACGGCCCAGACUCCUACGGGAGGCAGCAGUGGGGAAUAUUGCACAAUGGGCGCAAGCCUGAUGCAGCAACGCCGCGUGCGGGAUGACGGCCUUCGGGUUGUAAACCGCUUUCAGUAGGGACGAAGGGUGACUGACGGUACCUACAGAAGAAGGACCGGCUAACUACGUG